GGUAUUUUGACCGUGCAAAGGUAGCAUAAUCCUUAGUUUUUUAAUUGAAAGCUGGAAUGAAAGGUUGGAUGAGAAAUAAGCUGUCUCUAUUUAAUUUUAUUAGAAUUUUAUUUUUAAGUAAAAAAGCUUAAAUUUUAAUAGAAGACGAGAAGACCCUAUAGAGUUUUAUUUAUUCUUUAAAUAAAAUUAAUGGUAUUAAUUAUUUUUAUUUGAUAGAUAAAUUUGGUUGGGGUGAUUGAAAAAUUUAGUAAACUUUUUUUAUAUGUAUACAUUGAUAUAUGAUUAAUUGAUCCUUAAUUUAAGAUUAAAAGAUAAAAUUACCUUAGGGAUAACAGCGUAAUUUUUUUUGAGAGUUCUAAUCGAAAGAAAAGAUUGCGACCUCGAUGUUGGAUUAAAAUAAAAUUUUGGUGUAGAAGCUAAGA
This 422-nucleotide ribosomal RNA is filed under the name Laparocerus grossepunctatus. RNAcentral describes it as "partial 16S ribosomal RNA". The record is from RNAcentral. Lineage: Eukaryota; Metazoa; Arthropoda; Insecta; Coleoptera; Curculionidae.